RNAcentral lists this transfer RNA (61 nucleotides) under Bigelowiella natans. It matches the Rfam family "tRNA", at positions 6 to 65 of the family's 71-position model. Rfam says of the family: Transfer RNA (tRNA) molecules are approximately 80 nucleotides in length. Their secondary structure includes four short double-helical elements and three loops (D, anti-codon, and T loops). The record is from RNAcentral. Lineage: Eukaryota; Cercozoa; Chlorarachniophyceae.
AGUAGUACAACGGUAGUAUCCCUGCCUGUCACGCAGGAGAUUCGGGUUCAAUUCCCGGCUA